UACGUAGGGUCCAAGAGUUAAUCGGAAUUACUGGGCGUAAAGCGUGCGCAGGCGGUUGUGCAAGACCGAUGUGAAAUCCCCGAGCUUAACUUGGGAAUUGCAUUGGUGACUGCACGGCUAGAGUGUGUCAGAGGGGGGUAGAAUUCCACGUGUAGCAGUGAAAUGCGUAGAGAUGUGGAGGAAUACCGAUGGCGAAGGCAGCCCCAUGGGAUAACACGGACGCUCAUGCACGAAAGCGGGGGGAGCACACAGGCUGCGAUAACAGUGUAGUCC
This 273-nucleotide ribosomal RNA is filed under the name uncultured bacterium. RNAcentral's name for it is "partial 16S ribosomal RNA". It matches the Rfam family "Bacterial small subunit ribosomal RNA", at positions 524 to 796 of the family's 1533-position model. The record is from RNAcentral.